CCACGGACGUGAUGACGCGCUACGCCGCCGGUUGGACGGAGCCCCGCGUCCAGAGCGCCCGUUUUGAAGUGGCCGGCCCGGCCCCUGGGUCCUUUGUGAGGCGAGAACGGUGGAAGCCGCCACGCCCCUGCGCCGCGCGCUCCAGCCCGUUCUGAGGAUGAAGGUGGAGCUCUUUCUGCGGUUGCUGAGAGCGGCGCGCAGCGCGUGUUCCACGAGUGCCUGCGCGCGGCCCAGGCCCCUAGUGUCGCUGUCCACGUGGCCGUCUCCGCGGACGCCGGGAUGCCAGCACCCGCCCCGGGCGGACCCGGACCUCCGGACGCCCAUGCUGCCGCCCAACCCCGGGGCGGAUUCCCCGGCCGUGGCGCCCACUGACCCGCGGGGCCCAGAGGCGGGAGAUGCAGGGCGGAGGUCUGCGGCUGCCCCUUAGACUGGAAAGGACUCCUGUUCCACUGGGCUGGGAGCUGGCACAGAGGAUCUGUAUUCUGUACUGCUUCAUGGCCAUGUGGUGCAGAAUCCUCCGCAACUGCCAGGACGACAGGGCAGGUUCCUGUAAUUGCUUGCUGAACCUCGGCGUGACUUCCUAGAGCAGGAGGAUUUUGUCCCCUUCCUGUAGGUGACCCAGUGGAUCUACGCAGUCAGCAGGUCCUGGUCUGGGCACAUCAGCUGCUCUGAGCUCAGGAGGAGCUGCUUCCUGCAGGUGUGUGCCUGGAACCACCACCCAUGAUGGGACACCUUAUUCCCAGGACAGGAGACCCCACCCCCAAAGAAGAUCCCACCUCUGGGAUAGGAGACCCCAGUCCCACCAUGGCAGGAAAUCCUACUGCUCCACAACCUAAGGCCUUGAAAGCCCCACCCCCAUCCUGCAGCCCUUGCCCCCACCCCUUUGAAACUGAGGCCCUGCCCUCAUCCUGAGGCCCUGCCCGCUGCAGUUGGUGGCUCUGCUGGAAGAGGCGGUGGAACUGAGCCAACAGAGCAAGUGCUAGUGCUAGGACCAUGUCUAUGUCAUCCAGUGUGCUUUCCGCGAACUUGAUACUGAUUAGGAUCUGCUGGACAGCUGGGACCUGGCCUGGCACCAUGACCAUGGUCAGGGCCCCCUCUGAACCCUGCCCUGGGCCCCCAGAAUCCCCAGGAACACUCCAUGCUGACUCUAGCCACCAGCCUCGCCCUUCACAGCUCACAGGCCUCACGUCUUCCUCCAAAGCCAUCUCCAACAAGAUGAUUGACAGGAUAUUCUCAAGUGCCAUCAUGUGGUAGGUGGAGGUCCCUGGUUGGGGAGCACAGGUGAUGACAUCACGGGUGAUAACAUUGUGGAGAUGAUGACAUCACUGGUAUCCAUCACAUCAGAUCAGGGACAGUGUGGACAGCAUGGGGUGGGGGCCUCAGGUCCAGUGCAGGACUCCUGGGGUUCCCUUUGAGAGGUUUGAUGGGGGUACCUCCAGCUGGGACAGGCUCAUCUGACCCUGGCCUGUGUCCACUGACUGCUGCUGACCACUGCUGAUUGCAGCUAACUUCAGGGACAGGACAGGGCAGAGGGCAGGGAAGAUGAGCUUUGAGGCUUCGUGUGGUUCCUGCUCUCUGAGAAAGAAAAGACCACACCCACCCGGUGGGUCCUUAGGCUGCACAGGCAGGCAGUUGGUGGAUUUUGCUGGAUACUGUAGGCUCAGUAUGACCCAGUGGAGAUCUGGGCGAAUGAACUGGUGUCCCUGGUGUGUUCAGGUCAAUGUUCACCUCAGAGUCAGUGUGGUCAGCAGUGUCCCUGGGAUGGUCAGUGUUUACUACAUGGUGAACAGUAUCCCCCACUGACCGUCAUUCACCCCCCCCCCCCAGGCAGCAACGAGUACUGGUUCCACUACAUGGACAGAAACAGUGUCCUUCAAUGUGGUCAGUGGUCAGCAAUGUCCAUGGCGUGGUCAGUAGUUACUUUAGUGAAUCAGUGUGAUCAGCAGCAUCCAAUGGGUGGUCAUUGAUCAAUGUGGUCAGUAGCUAACCGCUGUUCCCCCUGCCCAGGCAGCAUGUGGCCCCAGCAUGGUCAGUGGUCACUUUGUGAGCAGUCAGUGGUCACAAUGUGAACAGCAGUGUGAUCAGUGGUCACUUCUGGGUUAUCAGCAUUUCCCCACGGUCUUCCUUCCUCCCCACCAGGCAGCUUUGAGUACUGGUUCCACUGCAUGGAUCUGGAUGGGGACGGGGUGCUCUCUGCCUUUGAGCUGAAGUUCUAUGAGGAACAGAGCCACUGGCUGCAGACUUAAGCAUCAGACCACUGCCCUUCCCUGAGUGCCUCUGCAGAUGCUGGACCCCGUGCAGCCGUAGACCAGGGUAGAGGCCCAGCCCCUUUCCUCUUCUGGCCCUCCCCUAGCCCUCCCCUCCUGGUUCUACCUGCUGCCCUUCCCCAGCUACAUCUGCCGGAUGCUGGACCUUGUUAGGCUGAGGACCCAUGGUAGAGGCCUCACCCCUUCCCCUCCUGGCCUUGCCUUCUCCCCAUCUGCAGGGACCGGAUGGCCAGGAAGGCCAAGCUCUGCCUCUCAGGUCCCAGCUAUUUGCCCCCAGGUUUGGAGGGCAUUGCCGGGGAAGGGUCUUGCCAUUCCCUCAUCUCUGGUGUCAUGUGCCCCCACCUACACUUGGGUCUCCAUCCGGCCCGCAGACCUCCAGCACCCCCUGCUGGCUGAUGCCUGCCUGCCUGCAUACACUCUGGUACUUGGGGGGGUUCACAAGGCCCUGACAUCCAGGUCCCCUACCCCUCACCCCUGUCUACCCCUCCUGAUCUGUGCUUGACUGCCUGUGUCCACUCUGAUCCUCUGAGGCCUCUCUGAGUCCCCAUGUCAAUCUGUCCAUGGCCCUGGUGUCCGUCCAGUGUCUGUCCCCUUGUCCAUCCCAGCGUCCAUGCCCUCACUCUACCUCUGCAGGCCACAUUAUGCUGGAUGACGUGAAGCACUGCCAGCUGCUAGCGCCCAUGUUCUUUGAUACUUUAUUCAACGUGGACAAGCACCUGGACCGUGAGCAGAAUGAGCAGGUGGACUUGACUAGGGUGAAGGUACCCCAUUUAAUGCUGAGCACUACUGAAUAGGGAGACAGGAACUUCCUGAGGAAAGCAGAGCUGUCCAUUUAUGCGAUAGUGGAAGUGAUGUCACAACAGAGGUGGGGACUUCCUGCUGACCUAUUACUCUAAACCCUGGUGUUUUUUAAAACCCAUUUAAAGGCCAAUAAACGGACAGCAGCCAGUUCUUAGGUUUCAAAAUCACUGAGUGGGGCUUUAAGGCCUGGAAGGGGUGUGUGUGGCCACACGUCCAUCUAUGAGAAAUAGGAAGUGAGAUUGCAAGGGAGGUGAGAACUUCUUGAAGGAAAAAGCCCCCUUGACUGACGUCUGUCACCCAGCUGGCCCAGGAGAAGGGGUGGUUGGAGCAGUCGGCUCCUGUAGUCUCUAAGUGGAAAUUUCCGGCUCUGCCUGCAAUGUCACUCAGCCUUAGCCGUCUGCUGGAUACCCAUGGUUUCCUGAAAAGCUGGGGGGAUGCAGUGGCUUUUCCUAGGGCCAACAGGGUCUUGUGGUUCUGACCCAGGAGCCCUUCGACACCACUACCUGCUGCAGACAUGAUGGCACAAGAAACUUCCUCAUUGCUUUUAUAAAUCUAAUGACCAAUGCUGGUGAACACUGACCACUGCUGUCCACUAACCAGUCACCUAUUCUGACCACUUGCCAAUGGCCCCUACUUGACCAGUGACUGCUGGUGACCAACCACUGCUGACCAACGACUCUGCUGACUGCUACUGACCACUGAUGACCACUGCAGACUGCGCGCCUCCCGUGGGAUGGUGAAAACCCUGAGCUGUCAGACUGGAACUGUUUUUUUUGUUGUUGUUGUUGUUUUUUAAUAUUUAUUUUUAUUUAUUUGAAAGAGUUACAGAGAGAGGUAGAGCCAGAAAGAGGUCACUCCCCAAUUGGCUGCAACAGCCAGAGAUGUGGCGAUCUGAAGCCAGGAGCCGGGAGCUUCUUCCGGGUCUCCCUGGGACUUGGGCCAUCUUCCACUGCUUUCCCAGGCCAUAGCAGAGAGCUGGAUCAGAAGUGGAGCAGCCAGGACUGGGACCAGCACCCAUAUAUGAUGCUGGUGCUGCAGGCUGGGGCUUUAACCCACUGUGCCACAGUGCUGGCCCUGGAACCAUUUUGUAGCCAUGGAGUACAAGCUGCUGGUGGCUGAGGUGGUGGCAGGCAGCAGUGGGAGGAUGGGUCAGUGCUGGACGCUCCAGGAAUGGAGAGAGAGGUGUAUGACUUCCAGUGGGGCAGGGGCCCCAGGUGAUGUCAGCAUCUACAUGUCAUGUCCCCAUCCCACUGUCACUCAGGGAGUGCCCUGGCAGAGCUGGGGCCAAUGAGAGGGGUGGGGCUGGAGUAAAGGGCUGCAGCUGUAACUUACAAGGUGGGGCUGGGCAAGGGGUGGCAGAGCUGAGGAGAAGGGGUGGAGCUGAGGGAGAGGGGUGGAGUUGGGAGGGGCAGGGCCAUUUGGAAAGCCCUGGACUAGGAGUGGUACUAUGCCAUGUCCAGCGAGGCCUAUGGCGGCUGCUGCACUGGUGUCAGGGGAGGGGGUAGGUAUGUGGAUUCGGGCAUGACCCAGGAGGCAGGCCCCCCUGCUCAGGCUGCGAAGAGCAGGUGCAUUUGGGGUCUCCCCUGCCACUUGCCUGAAGCUCACCUGUCACCCACCUGGGCAGUCUUCAAAGGCCCGAGAAGGAAGAGCCAAGCCCAUGGAGCAGCAACCCAGUGGACUCUGCCCCAGUGUCCAUUCUGGGAGGCCUCAGAGGCUGCACUCCUGGAAGAGGAUGACACUAUUCAGCUGGUGUGGUACAUGUAAUGUGCGCCCGUGCGCGUGUGUGUGUAUGUAUGUGUAUAUGUGUGUUGCGUGCAAGGCAUACCUUUCUUUAUUCAACCAGUGUUUGCUGUGGGGAUGGAGGGUGUCUGUGUCUGCCUCUAGGCAAAUGGCCCAUCUAGUCCCAUCUAAGUCCCCCGGUGUCCACUCUUGAGUCCAACGUUCACUCUCCCUAGCAGUGUCACCCAAAAGUCACUGAGGAUGUCCACUCCCGCACAGGGGUCAGCUGAAGUCUCCUGGGUCUGAGCCUAGCUGGUUGACAUUCAGACUCAGCCCCAGCAAGGCCUAUCUGUGGCCCACAGCCAAUCAAAACCUUGUGGACCCUAGCAGCUUGAUCAGGGCAUUCUGCUCACCUGUUUCAUUACACCUGCUCCUCACCUGGGAUCCAGGAGCUGUACCCAUGCGAAAGCCCCUGGCCCAGGUCCCCGCCUCUAGGUCUUUCCCUGCCUUUCCCUGGGUUCCAACCUGGGGUCCUUCCAGCCCAAGACUGCCCACAUUGCCCCUGCCUGGUCCCCAGAUCCUCUUCAUCAAGCCUCUACUCUUCCCGUUUGUUUGUACUUGGCUGUUUCCAUUUGCACAUGGCCCUCUCCAUGUGCACACCACCCUCUGGAAGCCUUGGCUCUUUCUGUCGCAGCUCCCCCGCCCUUUCCGUUCACACAGGCCCUCUUCCUAAGCGUUCACCUCUUUUCCGUUUGUACUUGGCCCUUUCUGUUGACAUCUCAAUGUGGUCUUCGUUUGUAAUUCCCUAUAAGAUAUGUUGUUAAACAUCUUUCUCUGUGUUUAAAUACAUCUGUAGAUCUAGUACAGUAUGGUGUAUUCUUGGACAUUUACUCAUUUUAAAUCAGGUGCAUAUUUUAACUUAAAUUCUCGCUAAGUCUUUUAUCUCAUUUGACAUUUUCCAGUUGUAACACAUCUUUUCAUUCUUUAACAGCAUCUUUCAAAAAGACAAAAACUUUAACUUUCACACAAUUAUUUAUUAAUUUUUUGUUUAGAUAUUCUAUUGGUGUUACAUUGAAAUCUGAUAAACCCAAUGGCAUCUUUUUUUCAUGUAGACAUUUUAUGUUUUACAGUUUUCAUUUAGCACUGUGAUUCAAGUUAAAUUGUAAAAGGUUUAUAUCUAUGGUCUUUUUUAUGUAAGUGUCUAAAUGUUUAAGGUGGAUAAUUUUAUGUUUGUUGGGUUUGAGAAUCACUUAAGUCACUUGAAACCAGCUGCAUCCUUUCAAGUUGUAAUUUUAUUCUUUAGAUGGUUCUGGGUUAGUGUUAAAUUGUUCAUUAGUUUUUCUUAUCAAAAAAGCAAAUAUUUUCUUAAAAUUCUAUUCCAGGUCCCAAGAAUGAAGUGUUCUACCCUGGUUUGAAGCAACAGGCUCUAUGUCCAUGAAUCUCUGCUAUGGCCUGGGAAAGCAGUGGAAGAUGGCCCAAGUCUUUGUGACCCUGCACCCACGUGGGAGACUUGGAAGAAGCUCCUGGCUUUGGAUCGGUGCAGCUCUGUCCUUUGCGGCCAACUUGGGAGUGAACCAGCAGAUGGAAGACUCUCUCUCUCUGCCUCUCAUUCUUUCUCUGUGUAACUCUUACUUUCAAAUAAAUGAAUCAAUCUUUUUAAAAAAAAAGUUCUGUGCUUUACUCAGACCAAGGUAUUACAAAUAUGCACUGCUGAUAGUUAUAAUUUCAAAGAAAAGUAUAAAGACUUAAAAAGGCAUUCAGCUGUCAUGAAAAACUAGUUAUUACCAUAAAAUGAGUAAUUUUUUGGGAGAAACAAUGGCAAAAUGAAUGAAUACAGGCAAAAUGGCUGAAAAGCAGAUCAUUAUAAUUACAUUAAAAAUGUGAAAGAAAAAAUUUCAGCAAAAGUAAUAAAGAUCAUAAUAGCUCAUACAAAGUUAAAGUAAGGAUGCCUGAGGCAGUGUUAUGGUGCAGUAGGGUUUACCCUCCAUUUGGGAUGACCUCAUUUCAUUUCAGAGUGCCUGACCCAAGUCUCAUCUAUUUUUCACUGCUGACUCAGGGCCCUGCUUAUGUACACUAGAGGAAGUAAACGAUGGCUUAUGUUCCAAAAAAAAAAAAACCAAACAAACCUGCUAGCAGUAAAAAAAAAACUGGCUUCCUUACUCUGAUCAAGAUUAUUGAAAAAGGAUCCUACAUCAAAGAACACAAUACAUACAAGAACAUUGACUGCUUUUUUCCCUGGAAGUAAGCCUAGAGCAGGUGCCUCCACUAUCUCCAAUUUCUUAUUGGAGGAGCAGUUGGGGAGGGGAGAGCAAAAAUAAAAAAUAAGGUGUAGAGGUCUCUAAGCAAUAAAAUGUCAAUAUAUCGGAGGUAUUUAGAGAGAAUCCAAAAAAUCUAAAAACAGAUACAACUGAUAAAUGAAUUUAAUGAGAUUUCUAGAAAGAUCAAUAAUUUUAAAAUCCACUAGAUUACCUUGUACUAGCAAGAAACAAAUAGAAAAUAUUAAAAGUCAAUAGGCGGCCGGCGCCGCAGCUCCUCAAUAGGCUAAUCCUCUGCCUGUGGCGCCGGCACACUGGGUUCUAGUCCCAGUUGGGGUGCCAGAUUCUGUCCCGGUUGCCCCUCUUCCAGUCCUAGCUCUCUGCUGUGGCCCAGGAAGGCAGUGGAAGAUGGCCCAGGUGCUUGGGCCCUGCACGCGCAUGGGAGACCAGGAGGAAGCACCUGGCUCCUGGCUUCGGAUCAGCGCGGUGCAUCGGCCACAGCGCGCCAGCCGAAGCAGCCAUUGGAGGGCGAACCAACGGUAAAGGAAGACCUUUUUCUCUGUCUUUCUCUCUCACUGUCCAUUCUGCCUGUCAGGAAAAAAAAAAAAAAGUCAAUAGGCAGAGUAGAAAACAAAUGCUGACAGGAGAAAAGGGAAGGAAAGGAUUAAAUCAUGUGAUGUCUUUCAGCAUUCUUCCAAUCAAUAUUAAAAAGUAACACAAACGACCCUACAGGAUAAUGAGUCACAAUACGAAGAAAAUAAAGCCCAGAGGCCGAUGCACAGAACUGUGACUCACUGAAGCAUUUACUGCACCGAGAGCUCCAGCAGGGACCCAUCAGGGAGGGCAGGGCCACAGGAGGGACCCGGCAGGUGCAGGAGCAGAGGGGAGAGGCCUCCCGCCUGGGGAGGUGGAGUCCGACCUGCACCCAGACCUCGCCUCCUGCUGCUCCCACCCAGCACAAUCUGAAGUCAGGGGCCCAUUGCCGUGAAGGAUGUUGAUGGGCUGUGUCCUUUGUGACACUUUGUGCGCUCACGGCCAUGCACGCUGUCCAAUCAGGCACGACGACGUCCACGUCACGUCAUCACGUGGGGUCUUGACGUCACAGUCAUCUUACAGUUCUGGGCAGGAGCUAGGUGCUAGGAGAUGGCUCCGCUGCCACAAGGCUCCCGAAGGAAGUUGGGUUUGUGGCCUCCACCUUCAUCACCGGGGGACGCUGGACACCUGGAGCUGAAAACCGCGACGUGGACCGAGCCGCGGGACUGAGCCGCGGAAGCCGAGCCGCGGGACUGAGCUGCGCAAGCUACAGGGUCUGCGCGCAAGUGCUCGAAGGGGAGUGCAACAGCGGGGAGACUUGGGAAGUCCAGGGCUCCGAGUCCACACAUCGGCGCUGGAAGGGGAGCAGACCUGCGUGGAGAGCGUGGGAGCCCACAGUUCGGGACAUCAGCGGCAGACUCAACACACCAGCGCUGGAACGCGAGGUGAGCCGAACCUCAAUAACCCGAGACACCGGCAGGCAAGCGGAGAGAGGAGACUAGAGGGAACGACCCCCGGGGCGGGGGGGACUUCACCAAGCUAACUGGAAGAGAGAGAGAGGGAAAAAAAAAAAGGUGACUGGUAUGGACACGGGUU
Oryctolagus cuniculus (rabbit) is the source of this 8671-nucleotide non-coding RNA. The record is from RefSeq and is a predicted model, not a curated record. NCBI's taxonomy places the organism in Eukaryota, Metazoa, Chordata, Mammalia, Lagomorpha, Leporidae.